AAUGAACGCUGGCGGCGCGCCUAAUACAUGCAAGUCGAGCGAGAAGACGUAGCAAUACGUUUGUAAAGCGGCGAACGGGUGAGGAAUACAUGGGUAACCUACCCUAGAGUGGGGAAUAACUAGCCGAAAGGUUAGCUGAUACCGCGUACGCUCCUUGGACUUCGGUUCAGGGAGGAAAGCGAUACCGAGGGUAUCGCGCUCUUGGAUGGGCUCAUGUCCUAUCAGCNGUUGGUGAGGUAACGGCUCACCAAGGCUUCGACGGGUAGCUGGUCUGAGAGGACGAUCAGCCACACUGGCACUGCGACACGGGCCAGACUCCUACGGGAGCAGCAGUAAGGAAUAUUGCGCAAUGGGACGAAAGCCUGACGCAGCGACGCCGCGGUGGGGGA
Molecule: ribosomal RNA, 389 nt
Filed under: uncultured bacterium
Lineage: Bacteria
Description: bacterial SSU rRNA
Rfam family: Bacterial small subunit ribosomal RNA
Source: RNAcentral